GCGGAGGGAUCAUUACCGAGUUUACAACUCCCAAACCCAAUGUGAACGUUACCAAACUGUUGCCUCGGCGGGAUCUCUGCCCCGGGUGCGUCGCAGCCCCGGACCAAGGCGCCCGCCGGAGGACCAACCAAAACUCUUUUUGUAUACCCCCUCGCGGGUUUUUUUUUAUAAUCUGAGCCUUCUCGGCGCCUCUCGUAGGCGUUUCGAAAAUGAAUCAAAACUUUCAACAACGGAUCUCUUGGUUCUGGCAUCGAUGAAGAACGCAGCGAAAUGCGAUAAGUAAUGUGAAUUGCAGAAUUCAGUGAAUCAUCGAAUCUUUGAACGCACAUUGCGCCCGCCAGUAUUCUGGCGGGCAUGCCUGUCCGAGCGUCAUUUCAACCCUCGAGCCCCUCCGGGGGGUCGGCGUUGGGGAUCGGCCCUGCCUCUUGGCGGCGGCCGUCUCCGAAAUACAGUGGCGGUCUCGCCGCAGCCUCUCCUGCGCAGUAGUUUGCACACUCGCAUCGGGAGCGCGGCGCGUCCACAGCCGUUAAACACCCAACUUCUGAAAUGUUGACCUCGGAUCAGGUAGGAAUACCCGCUGAACUUAAGCAUA
Molecule: ribosomal RNA, 592 nt
Filed under: Trichoderma harzianum
Lineage: Eukaryota; Fungi; Ascomycota; Sordariomycetes; Hypocreales; Hypocreaceae
Description: eukaryotic LSU rRNA
Rfam family: 5.8S ribosomal RNA (bases 219-372)
Source: RNAcentral